Molecule: ribosomal RNA, 446 nt
Filed under: uncultured bacterium
Lineage: Bacteria
Description: partial 16S ribosomal RNA
Rfam family: Bacterial small subunit ribosomal RNA
Source: RNAcentral
CCUACGGGUGGCAGCAGUCGAGAAUCAUUCACAAUGGGGGAAACCCUGAUGGUGCGACGCCGCGUGGGGGAAUGAAGGUCUUCGGAUUGUAAACCCUUGUCAUGUGGGAGCAAAUUAAAAAGAUAGGACCAGAAGCGGCAGAGACGGCUAACUCUGUGCCAGCAGCCGCGGUAAUACAGAGGUCUCACGCGUUGUUCGGAACCACUGGGCGUAAAGCGUGCGUAGGCUGUGUUGUAAGUCGUGUGUGAAAGGCGCGGGCGCAACCCGAGGACGGCUCAUGGUACUGCGAGAUGAGAGUAAAGGAGGGGGAACCGGAAUUCCCGGUGUAGCAGUGAAAUGCGUAGAUAGCGAGAGGAACACUCGUGGCGAAGGCGGGUUCCUGGACAUUAACUGACGCUGAGGCACGAAGGCCAGGGGAGCGAAAGGGAUUAGAUACCCGAGUAGUC